RNAcentral lists this unclassified non-coding RNA (354 nucleotides) under soil metagenome. RNAcentral's name for it is "partial contains 5.8S ribosomal RNA, internal transcribed spacer 2, and large subunit ribosomal RNA". The stretch from base 1 to 120 matches the Rfam family "5.8S ribosomal RNA", at positions 35 to 154 of the family's 154-position model. The record is from RNAcentral.
GAUGAAGAACGCAGCGAAACGCGAUAUGUAAUGUGAAUUGCAGAAUUCAGUGAAUCAUCGAAUCUUUGAACGCACAUGGCGCCUUCCAGUAUCCUGGGAGGCAUGCCUGUCCGAGCGUCGUUUCAACCCUCGAGCCCCCGUGGCCCGGCGUUGGGGAUCUGCCCAGGCAGUCCCCGAAAACCAGUGGCGGACCCGUUACAGGCCCUUCCCUUGCGUAGUAGCAUUCGCCUCGCAUCGGGAGCCGGCGGGCUUCCAGCCUCUAAACCCCCAUCAAGUCCGCCCCGGCGGCACCAAGUUUGACCUCGGAUCAGGUAGGAAUACCCGCUGAACUUAAGCAUAUCAAUAAGCGGAGGA